RNAcentral lists this ribosomal RNA (252 nucleotides) under uncultured bacterium. RNAcentral's name for it is "partial 16S ribosomal RNA". It matches the Rfam family "Bacterial small subunit ribosomal RNA", at positions 524 to 776 of the family's 1533-position model. The record is from RNAcentral.
UACGGGGGUGCAAGCGUUGUCCGGAUUUAUUGGGCGUAAAGGGCUCGUAGGCGGGAUGGUAAGUCUGGCGUGAAAUCUCUCGGCUCAACCGGGAAGCUGCGCUGGAAACUGCCGUUCUUGAGUUGCGGAGAGGAAGUUGGAAUUCCUGGUGUAGCGGUGGAAUGCGUAGAUAUCAGGAAGAACACCAAUAGCGAAGGCAAACUUCUGGCCGCCAACUGACGCUGAGGAGCGACAGCGUGGGGAGCAAACAGG